AUUGAACGCUGGCGGCAUGCCUUACACAUGCAAGUCGAACGGCAGCACGGGUGCUUGCACCUGGUGGCGAGUGGCGAACGGGUGAGUAAUACAUCGGAACAUGUCCUGUAGUGGGGGAUAGCCCGGCGAAAGCCGGAUUAAUACCGCAUACGAUCUACGGAUGAGAGCGGGGGACCUUCGGGCCUCGCGCUAUAGGGUUGGCCGAUGGCUGAUUAGCUAGUUGGUGGGGUAAAGGCCUACCAAGGCGACGAUCAGUAGCUGGUCUGAGAGGACGACCAGCCACACUGGGACUGAGACACGGCCCAGACUCCUACGGGAGGCAGCAGUGGGGAAUUUUGGACAAUGGGCGAAAGCCUGAUCCAGCAAUGCCGCGUGUGUGAAGAAGGCCUUCGGGUUGUAAAGCACUUUUGUCCGGAAAGAAAUCCUUGGCUCUAAUACAGUCGGGGGAUGACGGUACCGGAAGAAUAAGCACCGGCUAACUACGUG
Molecule: ribosomal RNA, 486 nt
Filed under: uncultured bacterium
Lineage: Bacteria
Description: partial 16S ribosomal RNA
Rfam family: Bacterial small subunit ribosomal RNA
Source: RNAcentral